Molecule: ribosomal RNA, 468 nt
Filed under: uncultured bacterium
Lineage: Bacteria
Description: partial 16S ribosomal RNA
Rfam family: Bacterial small subunit ribosomal RNA
Source: RNAcentral
UAGGGAAUCUUCGGCAAUGGGGGCAACCCUGACCGAGCAACGCCGCGUGAGUGAAGAAGGUUUUCGGAUCGUAAAGCUCUGUUGUAAGUCAAGAACGGGUGUGAGAGUGGAAAGUUCACACUGUGACGGUAGCUUACCAGAAAGGGACGGCUAACUACGUGCCAGCAGCCGCGGUAAUACGUAGGUCCCGAGCGUUGUCCGGAUUUAUUGGGCGUAAAAGCGAGCGCAGGCGGUUUGAUAAGUCUGAAGUUAAAGGCUGUGGCUCAACCAUAGUUCGCUUUGGAAACUGUCAAACUUGAGUGCAGAAGGGGAGAGUGGAAUUCCAUGUGUAGCGGUGAAAUGCGUAGAUAUAUGGAGGAACACCGGUGGCGAAAGCGGCUCUCUGGUCUGUAACUGACGCUGAGGCUCGAAAGCGUGGGGAGCGAACAGGAUUAGAUACCCUGGUAGUCCACGCCGUAAAACGAUGAG